RNAcentral lists this transfer RNA (67 nucleotides) under Dipodomys ordii (Ord's kangaroo rat). It matches the Rfam family "tRNA". Rfam says of the family: Transfer RNA (tRNA) molecules are approximately 80 nucleotides in length. Lineage: Eukaryota; Metazoa; Chordata; Mammalia; Rodentia; Heteromyidae. The record is from Rfam by way of RNAcentral.
GGGGGUAUAGUUCAGUGGCAGAGCAUGUGCUUGGUAUGCACAAAGUUCUGUGUUCGACCUACCGCCA